This is a long non-coding RNA of Magallana angulata, 656 nucleotides long. RefSeq lists it as uncharacterized. The transcript is spliced from 3 exons. The record is from RefSeq and is a predicted model, not a curated record. Lineage: Eukaryota; Metazoa; Mollusca; Bivalvia; Ostreida; Ostreidae.
UAAGGCAACACAUCGUUUUGAUAUGCUAAUGAAGGGAUAAUGAGUUAUGACGUCAUAAUAUACGCCCCGCCUAUGUAUUACCAUAUAUAGAACAUAUACCGAAAACAGCAGUUUAAGCAUAAAAUACGGCUUAUUUAAUACUUCAUAAGCAAAAUAUAACUACGAAUCACUCAUGUGUGUUUUUAUAAGUUUACAACAAUCAGAAUAUACGAAGAAUUUCCAUAACGCAUCUGUCGUAUGGGUGUGAAUCUGCGUCCCAAAAGCGCUCAUCAGACGAUGUAAACACGUGUAGCUGGUAUUCCUGAUGAUGGCGAUCUUUUGAUGAUUUAUCAGAGUAAUUUGAAAAGCGUCACACUGAUUUGAAAAAAAAAGGCUGGAAGAAAAUCUGGUACCUGCUUUGUCUUGAGAUUUACAUAAAUGAUGUUCUUAUUGAUGAUCAUUUACCCGCACCCUUAUCCUGGUGUCAUAUACAAGAUGAAAUGAUGGAAAGAAAAACCUGAACUUUAGGAACAGGAAGACUGUGUUUUUGAAGAGAGAAGAGGACCAGAAUUAAGAAGUCAUACAAUAAACACAUUGACAUCAUAAAAAGAAAUUGCAAUUUUGAGUUUGCAUGCAUAUGUCAGGUUAAAAUGUUGUCACAGAAUUUUUUAUCAGAA